AGAACGAACGCUGGCGGCAUGCCUAACACAUGCAAGUCGAACGCUCUUGGGGCUUCGGUUCCAAGGGAGUGGCGCACGGGUGAGUAGCGCGUGGGAACCUGCCCUGGAGUGGGGGAUAACCGAGGGAAACUUCGGCUAAUACCGCAUGCGCCCGGGAAACCGGGGAAAGAUUUAUCGCUCUAGGAGGGGCCCGCGUCGGAUUAGCUAGUUGGUGGGGUAACGGCCUACCAAGGCUUUGAUCCGUAGCUGGUCUGAGAGGAUGAUCAGCCACACUGGGACUGAGACACGGCCCAGACUCCUACGGGAGGCAGCAGUGGGGAAUAUUGGACAAUGGGCGCAAGCCUGAUCCAGCAAUGCCGCGUGAGUGAUGAAGGCCUUCGGGUUGUAAAGCUCUUUCGCACGCGAGGAUGAUGACGCUAGCGUGAGAAGAAGCCCGGCUAACUUCGUGCCAGCAGCCGCGGU
This 462-nucleotide ribosomal RNA is filed under the name uncultured bacterium. Its description in RNAcentral is "SSU rRNA". It matches the Rfam family "Bacterial small subunit ribosomal RNA", at positions 26 to 521 of the family's 1533-position model. The record is from RNAcentral.